GCUUUUGCUACUGAGAAAACGAACAAACUAGGAUCUUAACGUAUAGAGAGCUAGGAUCUUAAGAAGAGAGCUAGGAGGCCACGGACAUCAUCACUAAACCACCUAGGACUUUCUCUCUGUAGAAGACUUCCGAAAAUCCAGGAUUUUAAUUUAUUUCCUUUUACAUACUCAUGAAAGUCCCAGCAAUGUGUACCCUAUCUUCUAUUUCUAUCCUGUCUUCGCCUAUCUCUAUCCCGGACACGUUCCCUCUCAGUUAUAUG
RNAcentral lists this unclassified non-coding RNA (260 nucleotides) under Hevea brasiliensis (rubber tree). Lineage: Eukaryota; Viridiplantae; Streptophyta; Magnoliopsida; Malpighiales; Euphorbiaceae. The record is from RNAcentral.